This 439-nucleotide ribosomal RNA is filed under the name uncultured bacterium. RNAcentral describes it as "partial 16S ribosomal RNA". It matches the Rfam family "Bacterial small subunit ribosomal RNA", at positions 339 to 795 of the family's 1533-position model. The record is from RNAcentral.
CUACGGGGUGCUCCAGUGAGGAAUAUUGCACAAUGGGGGGAACCCUGAUGCAGCAACGCCGCGUGGAGGAUGACGCAUUUCGGUGUGUAAACUCCUUUUAUAUGUCAAGAAAAUGAUGGUAGCAUAUGAAUAAGCACCGGCUAACUCCGUGCCAGCAGCCGCGGUAAUACGGAGGGUGCAAGCGUUACUCGGAAUCACUGGGCGUAAAGGACGCGUAGGCGGGUUGGAAAGUCAGGUGUGAAAUCCUACAGCUUAACUGUAGAACUGCACUUGAAACUUCUAAUCUAGAGUAUGGGAGGGGGAGACGGAAUUAGUGGUGUAGGGGUAAAAUCCGUAGAUAUCACUAGGAAUACCUAAAGCGAAGGCGAUCUCCUGGAACAUUACUGACGCUAAGGCGUGAAAGCGUGGGGAGCAAACAGGAUUAGAUACCCCGGUAGUC